RNAcentral lists this ribosomal RNA (136 nucleotides) under uncultured Basidiomycota. Its description in RNAcentral is "partial 18S ribosomal RNA". It matches the Rfam family "Eukaryotic small subunit ribosomal RNA", at positions 1696 to 1831 of the family's 1831-position model. The record is from RNAcentral. Lineage: Eukaryota; Fungi; Basidiomycota.
UAGCCGGGGAACGUCGGGAGAGCGCUUCGAUAUCAGCAAUGGUUGAAGAGUGCUCGAACUUCCUUAAAUUGUAGUAUUUAGAAGAAGGAGAAGUCGUAACAAGGUUUCCGUAGGUGAACCUGCGGAAGGAUCAUUA